Molecule: long non-coding RNA, 4613 nt
Organism: Triticum aestivum (bread wheat)
Lineage: Eukaryota; Viridiplantae; Streptophyta; Magnoliopsida; Poales; Poaceae
Exons: 6
Source: RefSeq, a predicted model, not a curated record
AAAAAAACCUUUGCGAAAAAAACCCUCGAGCCCUGAGCAGAUCGAUCUCCCCCGCCGACCUCACGCCCGAUCGCACGCCCGAUCCACCACUACCCCCCCUCCCCGGCCGAUCCAUCCCGACCGCCGCCGCCCUCUCCCCGCACUCGUACCCAAGGAAUCAGCCGGCGGCCAGAUCCGCCCCUCCACUCACCCAACUCUCCCUCCGCCGCCGCGGAUCUCGCAGGGAAGACGCGGACGAGAUCCCAAGCCGCUGCUCCUCCUCUCCCGGGAUGCAGCCGCCGCCGCCGAACCAGGGAGACGCCGGCGACCGUCGCCGCCGUCGUGGAUCACCAUGACGCCGCCGCCUGCACCGCCACCGCCGCGGCGUCGCGGCUGGCGUUGGCGAAUCCAUUCCCAGCGGCGGGGGCUUCCGGCGAGGAGGCGAGCGAGCUCGGGGAGCUCCGGCGGGGGCUUGUCGCCGGUGAGGCGAGGCCAAGGCGGCGGCGCGCGGGCGCGAGGAGGCGGGGUCGAGGAGGCGCAGGAGGACGCCGGCCGGUGGGGCUCCGGCGGGGGCUUGGCGAGGGCGGCGGCGGCCGGCGUGCUCGCUUGGGAGGAUGGAGGCUGCCUCACCGGGGCUCAGGCGUGGCAGCACGGCGUCGGGCCGUUGCCGAUGGCGCCGGGGCCGGGGCGGUGGUUUGACGGUCGACGAGGAGGAGGUGCUGUCCUGGAGCCAGCGACGGCGGCUGCAGCUUGACGAUGCCGGCGUCAACAGCUUGCUUCAGGGGCUGCAGGCCGUGAACGGCGUUGUGCUUGCGCGCGAGACCCGUGUCUGAUUUGGAAAGAAUCAAUCCGGUGAAGAAGAAGGCCAAUGCAACUGCUCUCUAGCUAGGCACUGGAGUAUCUGCACCCCCAAUGGAACGCUACGAAUUGCUGCUGGUACUGAACAUGGGGACGGCGCAUGGCACUACAAAGCACUACAAAGCAGUGCCACAUGGGUUCCGGCGCAUGGGGACGGCAAGAUCUGCAUCGUCCACAUCAUCGACACGCAGUUUGUUAGCUUGGAUGGAUUUGUGGCCUCGCCUCAUCAGGUCCGGGAGGACAAAAGUGCUUGGCGAGUAGAUACAUGCAGCACGGGACCAAGAGAAAAAAAAUUAAACUGAACGCUCAAGGGUCGUCAAAUUCAGCUUUAGAACAAAAGUCGCGGGAUAAGCUCUUUCAGUCUAUGGAUGGACAGCUGAAUGCGCAAGAUAGAUGAUGUUCGGAAUUUGGAUCAUGAGCUUCCAACAAUGACCGUGCGAGAUGCUGGACAUGGCGUACAAGGCCGAUGUUGAUGGUGGCACAUAUACUCAUCAGCUGCCUACUACACGUCAGGGAGGAGGAAGCUAGGGAACCCAUAUUUGAAACACGAGAGCAAGGAAAGGAUUAAUGGUUACUGAUGAAACCAUUAAUCAAUAAUUGUGAUGAUUAGUUGUUCCUGAAUCACAAUUAAUCCUUGUAUAACUCCAUGUGUUGGUGUUUUGAGUGGGUGACCUGUGACCUAUUCUAUCCAAAAGAAUAAUGGUGUGCAGUUUCAGUCGUGAGUGGAGGCGAUAUGGCCACGGACUAUAUUUAUCCUAUCAAACCGUCGGUAACUGAAAACUAAUCAUGCUGGUGGCAAUGGGGGCAGCCUUAUAUUCCCCAAUGAUGUUUGUGUAAAAUGCUAUGUUUAUUUAUUUAUUUUGUUCAAAAAUCUUGCCUGUGUACAGUUUUUCAUGCAUGGCACUACAGAACCAAGUAUUGGUAGAUUUGGUAAUGCUUUAUUUAAAGUUCUUGUGUACAUCAGACUGACUAUUACCACAAACAUGCCAUUUAUAUCAUUUGAUGGGAGCCAAUGCCAAGGCCUUUUUAUGUCCCCAUUUAUUUAGCAUCAUCAUGGUUAGUCAUUCCAAUUUUAGAAUCUCAUAAUGUGAUGCCUAAUUACUUUGACCGAUUAUGAAUACAGUGAUUUGUUGUAAUUUACAGAACAAUUUUUUGAUAUGAUGAGUUGUUUGCAAUGUCUGCUUACUGUUUUUACAGGACACCAGAUUUCAAUACCCCUUUGUAAUAAUUUCUUUGGUGAUUUGUUGGAUAAGCACACACCCAGAUUUUGGGGAUUAGUAACAUUAGUAUGCAACAGCAUCAGGGUUGUCAUUCGUCGCGCUCCGUUCCUGCGCCACCGCCGCUGCCGCCAACAUACUCUCUGCCCAAGUGCUGCCACUGGGUUGCUGUUCUCCAUGCUCACGCACUGCCUCUAGGUCGCCUUUCAUUGCGCAUCCACUCGUUGUUGCCGGCGUGCUGAGAAGCUUCAAUGGAGCCUACUGGUUUAGGACACAAGGCAACUCGGUUUCCCAGUGAGAUCAAUCAACACAUGCUUCAGUCACUUGGCGUCGCCCGCUUUCAUACAAUUGCCCAAUGACUCUUUGAUUUAAUUGUGCCUCUGACGCUCAGCUACUCAGGAGGGUUGGAAGAUUGUGAGCUAGAUGUACCAUCAAUGCGGUGGUGAGCAUAUUGGGGAGAUGACGAAGUGAUUGGUGUGUAUGAAGAUCCUAACUGCAUUUUUAAACUAAACUGUUCGUAUUUUUGGUCCUUGCCUGUAUGUAUGGAAAAAGCACUUGUGAGUCCAUCUGAUUACAACUAUGAAUUUCUUGUUUGAAAUGUUGAGUUUUAAAACCCAAGUCUUAUGGUCCAUACUUUGUUAUGUAGAGAAACCAAACCAGAUGAUGGUUGCGACUAAUCGUACAUUCUUACUAUAUUUGCGACAAGAGCAUUUUCGUGCUAUAUAUCUCUGUUUCUCUGUUGCAUCAAUGUUUUGAGCACCAGUCCCUUCUGACUAGUUCGCAUGAGAUAGAGAGAGAGCGCUUGUUGUGUUGUUUGCUCAUGUAUUUAUUUGAUACAAAGUGAAUAGCUGCAUGGAUUUCUGGAGUGAGGGAAACACCGAUUCAUUUGGGACUAUCUAUGUAUUUUGGUUCACCUGAAGAAGCACCGCUGAUGUAAUGUGGUACGCUCACAUAUUGAUAUUCGUGAAGAUAAGUUAUGCACCAACACUAUUUUUAGUUCACGUGUUGAUGUUCGUGAAGAUAAGGUAUGCACCAAUGCUAUUUUUAAUUCAGAUCAGUCUUUUGAUUUCUAAUUGUCAUGUGAAGUGUUGUCAGUUUGUCAAAAUGAUGCAUUCAUGCUAAGGAGGUCACUGGAAAGGGUGAAGGUUGAAUCAUCAGGUGUCUUGAAGCCUUAACUAUUGAAGCUACCGAUGACAAAGUAAUAGUCAUUGUGUUCUGCAAAAAAGUUGAAGCUAAUAAUGGAUGUUCAUAUAUUAUAUUUUAUGCUGAUGGCUUAACUGAUUCAUGUGCAGUUGAUGUUAACCAAGUUGGAAUAGAAAUAUGAUAUUUCUCUUGUUUAGUUAAUUGGCUUCUAUACAUUCCAUCUUGCAUGCAUCUAGAGAAAGAAAGUAUUUUUUCGUAUUUCCAGUUUAUCAAGUUCAGAGUUCUAAAUGGGGGAGAGAGAGAGAGGGAGAAGUUCACCGUGAAGCAAUCAAAAACGGCAAGCAUCCUUUACUGAAACAAAUAUAAUUGUGCGGUUACAUGUUUGAAAUGCAAGUGUAUGUGGGUGAGGGUGGAAGGAGGAAUUGCGAUUUGGAUGCACCAUUGAUAAAGGUGAUGAGCUUGGACUUGGGAAGUGGAUUAGAGAAAGAAUAAGAAAAAAAGAGUGGUUUAACGGUAAUUUUUUGACAAUACAACGUGAUGUUCAUAUAAGGUUCAUAAAGAUCUAUGUCACUGGUGUAAUUAUGACAAAAUGAACUGAAAACUCAAUGAGUUGUAGAAGGUCAGAAGAGAUGCAUACAAAUAACUGUUCUUCUUUAUAUACAAUAGAUAAUUGUCCGCUUAUUGCAACUGGAUAUAAAUAUUUUAAUAUGAUUUUGUAAAUAAACAUUUACCAAAUUCUGCCCAUGAUAUACCUAUUUGAAUAUAUUUUAGGAUAUUAUUUUGCAAUCACUUAUUGACUUCCAAAGGAAAAAGAUAAGUUUAUUUGGUAAGUCAAUUAAAUGUGGGACAACUAUGAUGAUUUUCAUGGAAUGAUGCUCUGUCCAAGGAUGGAAGUUUGGAUGAACCACUCUGCCAGCUGGCAGGAAAAGGAACAUUAUUCUUUUUUAAGUAUUAUAUAUAUAGAUAAUAUAAAAAGGUGCGUUUAUAUAUGUUUUUAUUUUUGCAGAGUACGAGAGAGAUGAGAUGGAUUAGGUUGACGUUCAGGAAGAAUCCACCGAUGAGGGUCCCAAGGCGAUGUCGUUGGCAGGUCAAAAAAUUCACCGAUUUUGUGCAACAAUGUGGCUAUAUAUACGAUCAGAACAAAAAUUAAAAAGCAUGUAGCAACGCACGGGCAUUCUACUAGUGUGACAUUGGUUGUCACCCCUCCUGUCUAGGACCCGAGCCAGCCCUGUGUCAUUGAAGUUUUUUUUAUGUAGGGAAAUAGCAAAAGUCCAAGUAACAUGGUGCCGGUGGCAGCGGCGGCGGAUGAAUAAAGAGCUUUGUUGCUAGGGUUAGUUAUCGAACGAAUGGUAUGCACUCUCAGUUUGGUCAUUCUAUGCAUAUAGACAUUGUGCGGAUAUUUUUCUUUCCCUUAAC